AAUCAACGCUGGCGGCGUGCCUAACACAUGCAAGUCGCACGAGAAAGGGUCUUCGGAUCUGAGUAAAGUGGCGCACGGGUGAGUAACACGUGAAUUAUCUACCUUCGAGUGGGGAAUAACUUCGGGAAACCGAGGCUAAUACCGCAUAAUAUCUACGGAUCAAAGCAGUAAUGCGCUUGAAGAGGAGUUCGCGGCAGAUUAGUUAGUUGGCGGGGUAAUGGCCCACCAAGACGAUGAUCUGUAUCCGGCCUGAGAGGGCGCACGGACACGCUGGGACUGAAGCACGCUCCAGAUUCCGCCGGGAGGCAGCAGUGGGGAAUUUUGCGCAAUGGGGGAAACCCUGACGCAGCGACGCCGCGUGGAAGAUGAAGUCUCUUGGGACGUAAACUCCUUUCGAAAGGGCAGAUUAUGACGGUACCUAUAGAAGAAGCCCCGGCUAACUUCGUGCCAGCCGCCGCCGUAA
This 463-nucleotide ribosomal RNA is filed under the name uncultured bacterium. Its description in RNAcentral is "partial 16S ribosomal RNA". It matches the Rfam family "Bacterial small subunit ribosomal RNA", at positions 32 to 523 of the family's 1533-position model. The record is from RNAcentral.